UCCGGGGGGGGUAAGCGUUGUUCGGAAUUACUGGGCGUAAAGGGCUCGUAGGCGGCCAACUAAGUCAGACGUGAAAUCCCUCAGCUUAACUGGGGAACUGCGUCUGAUACUGGAUGGCUUGGAUUCGGGAGAGGAAUGCGGAAUUCCAGGUGUAGCGGUGAAAUGCGUAGAUAUCUGGAGGAACACCGGUGGCGAAGGCGGCAUUCUGGACCGAUAUUGACGCUGAGGAGCGAAAGCCAGGGGAGCAAACGGG
This 253-nucleotide ribosomal RNA is filed under the name uncultured bacterium. Its description in RNAcentral is "partial 16S ribosomal RNA". It matches the Rfam family "Bacterial small subunit ribosomal RNA", at positions 524 to 776 of the family's 1533-position model. The record is from RNAcentral.